GUGGGCACCCUUUCCCAGCCGCCUCUGCACCCGGCGGUGACGACGGCAAGCCGGAGGGCAACGGGCCGUGCGAGGAGGAAAAGAGGAGGAACCCGGAGACUCUAUGGCCCGUUCCCGCCCCCUCUUCCCCACCCCAGUCCCCCGGUCCCAGGCUGCCGCCGCUGCCCCGCCUCCUCCCUUUCCUCCGGGCUUCCCCCACGCUGUCCCCACCCCUCAGCUUUCCCAGGCCUGAGCCCCUGCGCCCAGCCAGGCCCUGGUGGCGCUCGCGCUGCCUGCCGGGAUACUCCGCCCGCCCAGCCAGUCCUCCCAGCUUGCGCCGCGGCCGUGAUAUCCGUGUUUCUCCCAAGAUGGUGGCGCUGGGUUCGGGGUGACUAUAGGAGACGACAGGGCCCCUUGCCCGCCCCGACCUCCGACCUCUCCCCUCCCCCGACACACAGCGCUCUCCUCUCCUCUCCACCCGCCCGUCCCCUCCGCCGCCGCCGCUGCCGCUGCCGCCUCCUCUACUUCCACCUCCCCCCAAGGCCGGCUCCGCCGUGCGCCCCGCGCCCCGCGCCCCGGCCCAGAGCCCCCUCGGGCGACGACGGCGCUUCCUUCGGCUCCAGCUCCGGGCCCCGCGCGGAGCCGCCCGUCCGCCGCUGCCCAGCACCGGCCGAGCGGGCCCCUGAGCCCCCCGGGGUGGGGGGAGCGGCCGCGGCUGCGGCUGGAGAAGAGCGAGGGAUCCCCGGCGGCCCCGCGGGCUCCUUGCCUUCCCCCGGGCCCCGGAGAAGGAAGCGCGGAUCCCGCAUGAGCCCCGGCGGUGGCGGCAGCGAAGGGGAAAGAGGAGGCGGCGGCGGGAGGAGGCGGAGGAGGAGCGGGGCGGCGGCGGCGCCUGCUGCUGCUCCCACCACCGCUGCUGCUGCUUCUGCUGCUGCUGCUGCUGCGAGGGCCGCGGCCCAGCCCGGGGCACCACCACAGAUGCCAUAGAACAACCACAGUGUUAAAGCGUAGCUGUAGAAGUUUUCAUUAUCAGGUUUGACACAUGCAAAAAGUGAGUAUAUUUUGAUCACUUGUUAAGUUUUCUUAAUAGACAAAAAGAAUUUCUUAGGCAAAAGUAAUAGUCAUGGAUUUGAAAACAAAUCUGGCUGUAUCAAUCCUGCUUAUUAAUCGGUUAAAUUCAGCAACUAAUUUAUCCAGCACCUACUGUGUGAUAAGCAUUGUGUGAGGUUUAUGGGGUUACAAAAGCGAAGUUGUUUGCUUGUGAAGCUUAAAUUACUUUAG
This 1257-nucleotide long non-coding RNA is filed under the name Phascolarctos cinereus (koala). RNAcentral describes it as "lncRNA (ENSPCIG00000036068.1)". Lineage: Eukaryota; Metazoa; Chordata; Mammalia; Diprotodontia; Phascolarctidae. The record is from RNAcentral.